UACGUAGGGGGCGAGCGUUGUCCGGAUUUAUUGGGCGUAAAGCGUGCGCAGGCGGUUGUGCAAGACAGAUGUGAAAUCCCCGGGCUUAACCUGGGAAUUGCAUUUGUGACUGUACGGCUAGAGUGUGUCAGAGGGGGGUAGAAUUCCACGUGUAGCAGUGAAAUGCGUAGAGAUGUGGAGGAAUACCGAUGGCGAAGGCAGCCCCCCUGGGAUAACACUGACGCUCAUGCACGAAAGCGUGGGGAGCAAACAGG
Molecule: ribosomal RNA, 254 nt
Filed under: uncultured bacterium
Lineage: Bacteria
Description: partial 16S ribosomal RNA
Rfam family: Bacterial small subunit ribosomal RNA
Source: RNAcentral